Molecule: ribosomal RNA, 158 nt
Filed under: Brachyura sp. 2013Kam OTU5
Lineage: Eukaryota; Metazoa; Arthropoda; Malacostraca; Decapoda
Description: partial 16S ribosomal RNA
Source: RNAcentral
GCUUCAUGUUUUUAUUAUAUUAUUUUAAAAGUUGAACUAAAUAAAAAAUAUAAUCAAAUAUUUGGCUGGGGCGGCAUGUUUAAAAAUUUAGUUAACUUCUCUUAUAAAAACAUUUAUUAAUGAAAUUAACAGAUCCUUUUUAAAGAUUAAAAGAUAAG